Molecule: ribosomal RNA, 2178 nt
Filed under: Triticum aestivum (bread wheat)
Lineage: Eukaryota; Viridiplantae; Streptophyta; Magnoliopsida; Poales; Poaceae
Description: partial small subunit ribosomal RNA
Source: RNAcentral
AUGCGGAUCCGCGGCACCGUGAGAGAGGUAACGCCGGCCGGCGCUUCACCACUGGCUAUUGUUUGGCGGCGGCAAGGAGAAGGGCGCCGAGGAUGUGCUGCUCUGUGCACGGCCGUCGAAAUUUUUCUGUGGCUUUCUCCAUUAGCAUGUUUCUCCUCAACGACCAUAUUAAUCUGGCUGGCGUUUGCACAUGUGAUUUUGGUUGAGGUGGAGGACCAACAUGACUUCUGUCUUACCGGAGUGCAUGUCUAUUCAUCUGAAGCCGGGAGUUGGAUUCAUAAGGAGAAGAGAUGGAGCGGCAAUAUUGAAGUCACUACUGAUCGCCUUGAUCGGUCAACUAUCUAUCUUAAUGGUUAUCUGCAUUUCUGCGUCACUGUUGAUGGUUCUGACCGUUGUGGACAAGGAGGAGGGGGAGCAAGGACUAACUUUCGUGUUCCUGAUGGUUUGGAUGUUGGUUUUAUUCAGCAGUCAGAGGGCUGCCUGCAUUAUGCUGGUUUUGACACAGAUGGCAAUGAUGAUGAUGUUGUUCAACUGCUAGUUUAUGUUCUUAAAGACUAUGACAGCAAAGAAUGGAUACUGAAGCAUAGCGUUGAAACUUCGCAUGUGUUUGGAGGGCGACACAUAGAAGACCUUGAUGAGGAAUUUAAUUGGAUUGCAAUUCAUCCGGAAUGUAACUUGAUCUUCUUCACUGUGGGACAGGAUAUCACAUUCAUGUGCUAUGAUGAUGUUGUUCAACUGCUAGUUUAUGUUCUUAAAGACUAUGACAGCAAAGAAUGGAUACUGAAGCAUAGCGUUGAAACUUCGCAUGUGUUUGGAGGGCGACACAUAGAAGACCUUGAAGAGGAAUUUAAUUGGAUUGCAAUUCAUCUGGAAUUUAACUUGAUCUUCUUCACUGUGGGCCAGGAUAUCACAUUCAUGUGCUGUGAUAUGGAUCGUCGACAAGUCAAAGGGGCAUGGUAUGUCUGCUUGAAUUUGGUCCUCCUUCCUCUGAUUGGUUCUGAACAGCAGGAGGUGGCUAGUACUUCGAGCUGGGCUGGAAUAUGGUCAAAUGAUUGGUGCAGUCGCAAUGUAAGUUAUUUCCAUUAUCAGAAGUUGUUCGAAAUCCACAAGGUGGAUGAGGAGGUAUUUCCGCUGCUCACCAUGAAGGACCUCAAGGACAUGGGCAUCAGUGCCAUUUGGUCGUACGUGGAGCUCAGGAGCAGCUGUUUCCCGAGUUGGGUGAGAGCUCCGAGCUUUUUGUUUCUUCUCCCGUGGAAGGAAGGUGGCUCUCGAAGGCGGCCAGGCCUCCAUGAGACUCUCCAUCAGGAGAUCGCCAAGUACCAGUCUAGGUUUCUUUGGGCAGGCGAGGGCGAGAAGCAGAAAUACCAUAUAGGCGUCUCGCUUUCCGGCGUCCCUCGGCCCCCUCGAGGUGGCCGCCUAGGACUCCCUCCUCCAGGACAUCGCUCUUCUGUCAAUGGACGUCGAGGGCGCCCCUGCUCCAUCUCUUGGCGACUGGAGUCCACCGGCCGCUUCUCUAGUAAGUCCUUAUACUCGUCCAUCACUCCUUCGUCGGCCCCUGAACCCUUUAGCCUGAUUUGGGACAUCCGCCUUCCUUUGAAGAUCAGGAUCUUCUUGUGGCAGUGGAUUCGGGGAUGCCUACCCUCUGGGGUAGAGGUCCUCAAGCGUAAUGGCCCAGGAGACAGGAUGUGCCCCCUUUGUGGCAUAGUGGAGGAUGCUAAUCACAUCUUCUUCUCCCGCUCCACGGCCAGUUCCUGUGUUCUUGCUUUCGCGAGAUGGUCGAUGGACAGUGGUGCAACACCAACUUCCCGGACCUGCUUCCCGAGAUCCACGCUGGCGCCCCCCGCCACUGCCAUAUUAGAUGGUUGUGCGUUGGGGUCCUCGCUUGGACGCUUUGGACCAUCCGCAACAAGCUUGUUCUUCACAAAGUGCCUCUUCGACAUGCGAGUGACGCGAUCUUUAAAAUGUGUGGUUACCUGCAGCUUUGGCGGCCGCUUAGCCGCCCAUAGGACCGGGACGCCAUCAACACCCUCCUCGCCGAUCUUCGCUCGAUGGCCUUCCGCGUGGCACCCCCGUUGCCGCCCCCUCCUCCGGAGCCCGGUUAGGCCUGCUGUUUCGGGCUGCUGUGCUUGUGUUUGUGUUUUGAUUUCAGGGCUUGUUGAGCUGUGCCCUCAACAUUAA